Long non-coding RNA from Vicia villosa (hairy vetch), 529 nucleotides. RefSeq lists it as uncharacterized. Lineage: Eukaryota; Viridiplantae; Streptophyta; Magnoliopsida; Fabales; Fabaceae. The record is from RefSeq and is a predicted model, not a curated record. The transcript has 3 exons.
GUUUUUCACACUAUAAAUUGAUCUGAUUAAUUUCUAUUUGUGACAUAUCAAAAAGAGAAAAUAUGACUAAAAUUCUCAAGAUUGUACAUUUUAUGAUUUUAUUACUUUUCUAAUUUUUUGUUUCAAAGAACAAUAGCCAAAGAAGUGAUUGUAAAACAGGUGCAGAUUGUCUAAAAAUAUUUACUUUUUAGGGAAGGGAAAUACGCUUUUAAAAUUGAAGUGCAUUGACAACAAAUGUAAACCUUGGUGUAAAGAGUAGACAAACUGAAUACAUGAAAAAAUACCAUGUGAAAGAGAUGCAGAUUGUCGUAAAGGGUUUGAUUUAUGGAAGAGAAUAAACAUGCCUAAAAAAUAUUGGCAUUGCGUUUUCAAAAGAUGUAUGUACCUGGAAUGAGUUCUUAAAAUCAUCCUAAGAAUCCCCAAGGGCCCUUCAUUUUAUUGUGUUGUUCCUAGUCAUUAUUUCCAUAGUUAUUAAAUAUGAUAUAUGUAAAAUUAGAUGUAUUAUGAUUAAAAAAGAGGGAUUUUGAAA